MicroRNA precursor from Medicago truncatula (barrel medic), 201 nucleotides. It matches the Rfam family "MIR2619 microRNA precursor family". The record is from Rfam. Lineage: Eukaryota; Viridiplantae; Streptophyta; Magnoliopsida; Fabales; Fabaceae.
AAACAGUCUUAUAUGUAUUGUAUCUUUGACAGUUUUGGCCUCCAAUAUCACUUUUGGUUUAGUCUUCGUUGACGUGACACCCACAAUGGUCGACUUGUGGCACCUUACUUAAGGGAUGUGGGUGCCACGUCAGCGAAGACUAAGUCAAAAGUGACAUUGAGAGCCAAAACUGCCAAAGAUCCAAUACAUAGGGGGUUGUUU